UUUUUUUAAGGUAGGAAAYGGCAAAUCCAGCCUCCCGGAGCGUUUGGGCGGACCCUGCUCUGUGCCGCAUCCUUGCUUGCUCGCCGCUGGCAGCAAAAAGGGGGACAAAGCCGCACGAGCCAAAGUGCCCAGCCGACACUUUUAUAGCUGGAAAAGUAUUUUAGAUAAGUAUCUCCCAAUCCUCGAGGUCCAGCCCAAGCCAGGGCAAACCGAACUCCCUGGCUGCAUAUACCGAUGUGAAAAAUCCCCCCCACCCCCUCCUCUUCCCAAACUUCCCACAUCUGUUAAAAUUUUCCACGGGGAAGGGCUGAGUUGGGCGGGAGGGAGGCUGCAGGCAGCACCACUAAAUUGCAAAGCCAAUUUAGCCGGGAUGACAUGUUUUCUAACCGGCAAGAAAUAUCACCCCAUUAGACUAAGCCACUUCUAGUCUAACAAGGACCCUGCCAGCCAAAUCCCACUAUUUUAUUUUAUAAUUGUUUGCAUUUUCAUUAUAGAGUCUUUUAUUUCCUCCCCGUCUUGCUUCCACACCUUUCUUGUGUUGUUUCCUGUGCUUCUCCAUCUUCUCCUUAUAUGAACAUAAAUUUUUUUGGGCAACUAAGUUUAGCCCUGCUUGCCCAGCUGUGGGCCAUUGCUCCAGCGAGAGAUGGGGCUAGGAAACACGGCCGCUGGCUCCCGCCGCCCCGGAGGGGUGGUGCAAGCCACAGGUGCCUCUGCCAGCCCUCGGGCCCAAACGCACCUUUGAACUUACACAGCCAAUAGUUAAAAMCUGGCUUUUUUGGUGUUUUUCUCUAUUUAUUUCAUUAGCGAUUCCCCUUGCCCUGGUCCCCGACCACCCCAGGCGGAYGGUUUGCCUCUGCAGCCCCCCACUCGCCGGCCGAGCGACUGGCGCUGAUUUACGGCCGCCGCACGCCUGGGUCUGCCCAGCCCUCGGCACAGCCGGUAUCUGCCGCCUCUUUUCCUGCGCUAGGGGCAAAAAGGUGUGGGGACACUGGUGGCACGGGCGAGCCGGAGCCUUUCCGCGCCUGCAGACGGAGGUGCGAAUUACAGGAGCGAGUUACUGGCAGAGCAGCAGCUUUCCAUUUCGAGGUGAGGCCCCGUCUCUCGGAGGAAGGAGAAAGGAGCCUUUUGGAAACRUGCAGAAUUUUUGCCCCGAUUUAUGAGGAUUUUGCAGGUGGAGAGCGGCAGCGCCGGCACGCGCCGUGGCUGGGAUGCUGAAGCUCUUGCUGAGGCUGCGCCAGCGAUUACCCAGUCCKCUUGCUGACUCAGCUACAUCACGUCUCCCCUCAUCCUGCUGCUAAUUAGACUCCAGCCUCUCAUCUUGUUAAUAAGCUUCCAGUUCAUUUGCAUACAAAAAAAAAAAGGGAGAAGGAAAGCAAGCAGCUCGUUUUACCUUCAACAUGUGGCUAAGUCUUAUUAAAAUAUUUAACUUUUUAUCGCGGCGCAGAAGCAGCUGUUUAGCCUGAGCCCGGCGCAGGCAGCUGCAACCAGUUUGGCGCUUCCCGGGCGCGCUGGACCUUCCCCUGU
Molecule: long non-coding RNA, 1524 nt
Filed under: Apteryx rowi (Okarito brown kiwi)
Lineage: Eukaryota; Metazoa; Chordata; Aves; Apterygiformes; Apterygidae
Description: lncRNA (ENSARWG00000005000.1)
Source: RNAcentral